AGAGUUUGAUCCUGGCUCAGGACGAACGCUGGCGGCGUGCCUAAUACAUGCAAGUAGAACGCUGAAGGAGGAGCUUGCUUCUCUGGAUGAGUUGCGAACGGGUGAGUAACGCGUAGGUAACCUGCCUGGUAGCGGGGGAUAACUAUUGGAAACGAUAGCUAAUACCGCAUAAGAGUGGAUGUUGCAUGACAUUUGCUUAAAAGGUGCACUUGCAUCACUACCAGAUGGACCUGCGUUGUAUUAGCUAGUUGGUGGGGUAAGGGCUCACCAAGGCGACGAUACAUAGCCGACCUGAGAGGGUGAUCGGCCACACUGGGACUGAGACACGGCCCAGACUCCUACGGGAGGCAGCAGUAGGGAAUCUUCGGCAAUGGACGGAAGUCUGACCGAGCAACGCCGCGUGAGUGAAGAAGGUUUUCGGAUCGUAAAGCUCUGNGUCUUAAGCAAUGAACGAUUUCGAGGGCGUCAAAGAGUAUUAAGAGACUUACGCAUUGUGUUUAAGGAGUUUACUAUCCGUACCCACUAGGAAGUCAUGCAAAAAAAAUGAAAAAAAUUAGAAAAAGUAGUUGACAAAGUUUGAAAAGACUGUAUAAUAGUAAGAGUUGAAAAUAACAACUCAGGUCCGUUGGUCAAGGGGUUAAGACACCGCCUUUUCACGGCGGUAACACGGGUUCGAAUCCCGUACGGACUAUGGUAUGUUGCGGUUGGAACACUUGAUGAAAAAAAGUUUAAAAAAACUUAAAAAUCUUCAAAAAAGUGUUGACAAGCGAAAGCAGUUGUGAUAUACUAAUAUAGUUGUCGCUUGAGAGAAGCAAGUGACAAAGACCUUUGAAAACUGAACAAGACGAACCAAUGUGCAGGGCGCUACAACAUAAGUUGUAGUACUGAACAAUGAAAAAACAAUAAAUCUGUCAGUGACAGAAAUGAGUGAGAACUCAAACUUUUAAUGAGAGUUUGAUCCUGGCUCAGGACGAACGCUGGCGGCGUGCCUAAUACAUGCAAGUAGAACGCUGAAGGAGGAGCUUGCUUCUCUGGAUGAGUUGCGAACGGGUGAGUAACGCGUAGGUAACCUGCCUGGUAGCGGGGGAUAACUAUUGGAAACGAUAGCUAAUACCGCAUAAGAGUGGAUGUUGCAUGACAUUUGCUUAAAAGGUGCACUUGCAUCACUACCAGAUGGACCUGCGUUGUAUUAGCUAGUUGGUGGGGUAAGGGCUCACCAAGGCGACGAUACAUAGCCGACCUGAGAGGGUGAUCGGCCACACUGGGACUGAGACACGGCCCAGACUCCUACGGGAGGCAGCAGUAGGGAAUCUUCGGCAAUGGACGGAAGUCUGACCGAGCAACGCCGCGUGAGUGAAGAAGGUUUUCGGAUCGUAAAGCUCUGUUGUAAGAGAAGAAUGAGUGUGAGAGUGGAAAGUUCACACUGUGACGGUAUCUUACCAGAAAGGGACGGCUAACUACGUGCCAGCAGCCGCGGUAAUACGUAGGUCCCGAGCGUUGUCCGGAUUUAUUGGGCGUAAAGCGAGCGCAGGCGGUUAGAUAAGUCUGAAGUUAAAGGCUGUGGCUUAACCAUAGUAGGCUUUGGAAACUGUUUAACUUGAGUGCAAGAGGGGAGAGUGGAAUUCCAUGUGUAGCGGUGAAAUGCGUAGAUAUAUGGAGGAACACCGGUGGCGAAAGCGGCUCUCUGGCUUGUAACUGACGCUGAGGCUCGAAAGCGUGGGGAGCAAACAGGAUUAGAUACCCUGGUAGUCCACGCUGUAAACGAUGAGUGCUAGGUGUUAGACCCUUUCCGGGGUUUAGUGCCGUAGCUAACGCAUUAAGCACUCCGCCUGGGGAGUACGACCGCAAGGUUGAAACUCAAAGGAAUUGACGGGGGCCCGCACAAGCGGUGGAGCAUGUGGUUUAAUUCGAAGCAACGCGAAGAACCUUACCAGGUCUUGACAUCUCUCUGACCGCUCUAGAGAUAGAGCUUUCCUUCGGGACAGAGGUGACAGGUGGUGCAUGGUUGUCGUCAGCUCGUGUCGUGAGAUGUUGGGUUAAGUCCCGCAACGAGCGCAACCCCUAUUGUUAGUUGCCAUCAUUUAGUUGGGCACUCUAGCGAGACUGCCGGUAAUAAACCGGAGGAAGGUGGGGAUGACGUCAAAUCAUCAUGCCCCUUAUGACCUGGGCUACACACGUGCUACAAUGGCUGGUACAACGAGUCGCAAGCCGGUGACGGCAAGCUAAUCUCUUAAAGCCAGUCUCAGUUCGGAUUGUAGGCUGCAACUCGCCUACAUGAAGUCGGAAUCGCUAGUAAUCGCGGAUCAGCACGCCGCGGUGAAUACGUUCCCGGGCCUUGUACACACCGCCCGUCACACCACGAGAGUUUGUAACACCCGAAGUCGGUGAGGUAACCGUAAGGAGCCAGCCGCCUAAGGUGGGAUAGAUGAUUGGGGUGAAGUCGUAACAAGGUAGCCGUAUCGGAAGGUGCGGCUGGAUCACCU
This 2483-nucleotide transfer RNA is filed under the name Streptococcus pneumoniae. Its description in RNAcentral is "bacterial SSU rRNA". The stretch from base 943 to 2483 matches the Rfam family "Bacterial small subunit ribosomal RNA". The record is from RNAcentral. Lineage: Bacteria; Bacillati; Bacillota; Bacilli; Lactobacillales; Streptococcaceae.